RNAcentral lists this transfer RNA (75 nucleotides) under Cycas revoluta. RNAcentral describes it as "tRNA-Pro". It matches the Rfam family "tRNA". Rfam says of the family: Transfer RNA (tRNA) molecules are approximately 80 nucleotides in length. RNAcentral also lists the same sequence under 1 other name. Lineage: Eukaryota; Viridiplantae; Streptophyta; Cycadopsida; Cycadales; Cycadaceae. The record is from RNAcentral.
CAAGGUGUAGCGCGGUCUGGUUAGCGCAUCUGUUUCGGGUACAGAGGGCCAUAGGUUCGAAUCCUGUCACCUUGA